UUUUUAUAAACUAACCAUAUUUAUUAUCUUCCUAUUUAAAAAUUGAGAAAAGAUUACAAGUAAUUUAAAGUAUUAUAUUAAAAAAUUAAAAAAAUUCAUUAACUAAAAAAAUAUAUGAAUAUUUUUCUUAAAAAACUAAUAAUUAUUGAUAAAAUAAUAGAAAAAAAUAUAAAUAAUCUUAUUAAGGUUAUGGUUGUAUUAGGCAAAGUCAAUGAUAAAAAAAAGUUUGUUUUUUCUUGUUAUAUCAAUACAAUAUUAUAGGAAGGGAUAGAGAUGACAAAAUAGGUUAAUGCUAGAGGGGGUAAGGAUGGUAUUGUACUCUUUAAGUGUAUAUAAGGAGGUCUAAUCUCUUUUUAUCUAUUUUCUAAAUUUAUAAUACAAAUUAAAUUAAAUGACACCAAAACCGAAUGGAUUAAUGAAAUUUAACAAAAUCAAAUUGCAAAAAGGGUUUCUAUACUAUAUACAAAGAAUUAGCAUAAAAUCAUGAGAAAAAUUUUCUUAUGUAACUUACCAAGUCCAAAUGCUAAAACUGUUCCUACAUUUUUUUUUCAAAAAUAAAGAAUAAAAAUAAAUAAAGCUAUCUUUGUUUUCUUGCAUAUGUAUGUAGUAUGUCAAAAGUUUCUACCUCUGCUUGAAGCCGCCAAGCAACGAGAAGAAAAGGGUAAUAUUUCAGUAAUAAACUGACUAAUCAGAAAAAGAAAGAAAAACUUUCAAUUGGCAUAUACUAACCCGCAACAAUCUGGAAAACAACCUUCAAGCAACAGGUAAAAGAGUAUCUGCAUUUAGGUAAAAGUGUAAUGUUAAAUUCUUGAGAAAAAACAGGAAGAAUGCUUGUAUGUAGAAAAAGAUCCUUAGAGACAUCACAGUUCACAUCUAGAGAAUAGAUUGAUAUGGACUCAAAACAUUAAAGUAGGAGGAUCUUAAACACCGGUAAAAUUCUAGGUACUCAAUUAUGAUCUAGUCAAAACAUUCUAAUUGAGUUCUCAAAGUAUUAAUAUUGUAUCAAUUAGGUACUUCCAUUAGUCUAGCCAUUAGCUUAGGUGUUACAUAACAGCUCAAAUAUGGCUUGGGAGUGUAUUUAAAAUACAUGAGACAAACUGUAAACAUGUGUAUCCGUUAUGUGAAUAUUUUAGAUCUGAUAUGUUAAAAAAAUAGUUUACCUAAAUUUUAAUAACACUAUUUUUUAAAACAUGUUAGAUCCAAGCUAUUAAUGCAAUACUUACAUGUGUUUAUAAUUAGAUUAACAUGUUUUAAAUAUAUUUCAUAUUAGAUCCGAACUAGUAUCUAAUGUCUAAAUUAACAACUAAGUAGACUGAAACACCUAAUUGAUAUAAUAUUGAUAGCUUGGAGUCUAGGUGGUAGCUUGGGACACAUUUAGUUAAAUUGAUCCUAAAUUAAAAUACCAAGAAAGCCCUGAAUUUAUAAAAUAUUGCAAUGAAGCCCCAUAUAUAUAAAAAGGCAACAAAUAUGAUAUUAUAAGAGAAAAAAAAGGUGUCGAUAAUUUACCUUUGAUGCAACUGCUAGUUCACAUCCAUGAGAUGACUUCAAAAAUGAAGCAGAUAACCCAGAAUAACGCAGUAUGAAGGCUACAAUAACUUCCAUUUGUCAGUGUAUGGAGACAAAUAUCCAAUCCACACUUCUCACAUUCAUAAGACCUGUUUAAUUAAUUGCAAAAGAUGUAGAGGCCGAAGCUGCCUCUGCUAUUAAUGAAAUUGGCUGGCGAGCCUGCAGGCAAGCAGCAAUAUCAAAGGGAUUCAACUCUGCACCGUCAAAAAUGAGGUUAAGACCGGGAAGGAUAACUUCACCGCUGUCAGUUUCAUCAAGAUCAACUCUGGGUGCAGUUGCUGCAGGGGAAUCUUCAACAGAUCUUGUGCCAGCUUCAUAUACUGGAGUUACGGCAAAUGAUCUGCAAAUUUAUUUCAUCGCUACUAGUAAAUAAACAUAACUGAAUACUACCAUGAGAAGCAAGUCUUAAGUGGAGGAAAAAGAAAAUAGGUAUAAUGAUUUCAAAGACCUAAGAAUGCUGGCAUCGAAGCUCAAAACUUCGGUCCGACUACGCUGUCGACAGGCAAGUUUGAAUCUUUGAUGCUCAUUAGAUGCUCCAGAAAUGGGAGAAGAAGGGUCUACCAGUGGAUUCCACUUUCCACUACUAGGAUAGUUGAUGUCAUGCUCUGAAUCCUUCGAACCAUCCUUUUGCAGCUCCUUUAGGUAAAGAAGUUUUGCUGCAGGACCUGUUGCUUGAUACUCUGCACAAAAAUCACGCAACUUUCUUUGCAUGUUUUGCAUUGAAUUAUGAUGCUCAGUAAGUGAAUCUACUUGAAGCAACUCUGAGGAGACAAUCCUUUCACAUAUGUUAUUGCAUAAUUUUGGGUUGAAAAGUGGCAUCCCAAAUUCAAUGGUCAGUGGAACCCAUUCAUACUUCCCAUUGGGGCCAAAAUUAUCCGAUUCCCUUUCUUUAAAAAGUUUUAGUAAGCGAAUGUAACCAAUUGUCCAUAACUCUAUCUUGUGAGCCAAAACAGUUAAUAGAUCAUUCAAUUUCAAACAUUCCCCUGCACAUAGUCCUAGCUUGUCCCCUACGGGAGCAACUGAGCCAUCAGAGUUCUUAAGGGGCAAGGGUAUGUCAACUGUAACAACUUUUCCAGAGCCAUCAAGAUCAUAUAUGCUAAAGGGCUGCACUAUAACAGCAGAGUGUUUGAGCAUCGAAUUCAAACAGUGUAAAAGUAUACUUCCCUUGACUAAAUUUCCUUCAAACUUUCCACCCAAGCUUCCGGUCGUUGAAUCAUCCCAAGACCAUAUAAGGGCUUUCUCACAACCAGCUAAAGGUGCAGGUAACAUGCGCAGACAUAGUCCUUUCAUCAGUACGAUCGAUAAAGGCCCACUGGCCACCGUUGAAUAUAGCACCAAUUUCAUCCAUGGUGUCAUUGAUGAGUGAGAGGGAGGACCAAAAUGAAUAGGACCUGUAGGCCCAGGAAGAACAGAUGAAUGUGGAAGAGGAAUCAUAGACACAAUUAUAUCAUAGUCACGAAGAAAUAACCGAUCUAAGGUUGCCUUUGGCAGAGAAGCCAAGCUUUCACAGCGGAGGAUAUCCACUCGAUAUCUCUUUCUCUUCCUUGGAGUUCCUUUUCCUUGGUCAGGUCCUUGCAUAUGUAUCAUUUUCUCAACAUUCUGGACAAUCAGACCUGACUUGGAAAACUCACUCGAGAGCUUACCAUCUUCUGCUAGGGUAGCAGAUCCGUUAUCACCAGUCGUUUCAGGUACAGAGUUGUCCAAAAAGGAAUCUUCCUGGGACGUUGCUAAAUUUUUAGCAUCAUUAAUGUUUUCUUCAGUUUCUUUAGCAGCAGAUUGGUCUGAUACAUUGGUCAAUGAUGUGUCAGCUAUCAUACUAGACUCAUCACAGCCUGAAGUUGACACUCUCGCUCUGUCAGCAACUUCCACGGCUCUAGUAUCAGCGGUAACACCACCAGAUAGUAGACACUCCAAGACACAGCGGAGACUGUAUGCAUGGUUUGCAAAUUCCUGCAACACUCCCUCAAAUUUUGUUCCCUCCAACGUGCUCAGGUCUUUGCAAAGAUUUGCAAUGCUAGUAUGGCCUAGUUUCCCUGCUUCAUAUAACGUCACAGCAUGAGAUUUCAAUCCUGCAAAAAUUUCAGUAAGAGGAAAUACAAAUAUUGUCAGAGAAGAGGAAAAGUAAGUGCACAUGGAUGCAGAUGUUGAGGAUAACAAACCACGAGAAAUUAUAACACGCAAUACUGGAGCCUGUCUAAUCAUUUCAUUCAAACUAGAAUGACCGGAAUAUGUCUAUUCCUCCCCAUAAGCCAUAAUACAAGCACCAUGGGAUAACAAAUAGUUCCUCUUGUCCUAUCUUGGAGCACCCCCUCUACUCUAGAAAGCUCAAGUUGAGCCGUUUUAGAAAGAACAAAAAAAUUCAAUAUAAGUUAAUAAUGAGCUUAUUUGAUGCAUUCUUAUUUUGCAUUAAUGGUUAUGACUGGAACUGGGACAUAAAAACAAGACAUUCAAAAGGGAACAAAGAAAAGGUAACCAACCCGGUGAAACGGAGCCCAUCAUAAGAUAAGAUGUUAUAUUAGCAUCAACGACAAAAGCAACCCGAGCAUCAUGAGAACGGUGGUUUUCUGUCCCCCAAAAAUCUCCUUGAUGAGCAGAGUCACCAUCAGUGGACACAUUUGCAGAGGUUGAACUGCGGUGAGAGGACUCUUCUUCAUCCGUAAGGACAACACCAUGAGAUAACGUUGUGUUUUCUUGAAGAAUAGAUGCCGGGUCAAUUACUUUUUCUGCCCAUCCCAAGCGGCAAACGAAAGAUGCAGCAGCCUGCAGUAUAGUAAGAUCCGCUUGUAAGGUUGAUGCCAGCUCAGCAACAGUAGCAUGCUCACUUGAAACAACAAAAACUGCAUAUAGCAACCUGAAUAACGCAGUAACUAGCAUUAAAAAUCCAAGUUACACUGCUACUAAAUGGCAUUGAAUGACCAAAACAUCAAAGAGUAACUUACUCCUCAAUAGGAUCCUCAUAAGACUGCUCCUUGUUUGAAAUAAACCCUUCAAGCCUACAAACUGAACUACAACAGCAUUAAUGACUCGAUUCACAUACCAUAAAGGACUCAAACAGAGGUGGUCAAGUGCCAUGCCAUUCCAUUAGCAAAUUCAAAACACAUUUAAGCAGCAGCAGGUAGAUCCACAGAAGUAAACAGUAGAGAACUUGAAAUAAAGUAAACAGCUAUGCAGAAAGCAUCCUAAAGAAAAAGAGAGAUAAUAGAAAAGGGCAAUGUCUAUUUUAAAUAUAUUUUUUAAGGAAAAAAAAUACCCAGACCCCAAGAAGAUUGCUUGGAUGAUAAAUAAUUCACUUCUUGGUCUUUGACCCUCAUCACUACGAAACAUGUCUGAUCAAAUGGAAUGGGAUGUAACUUUUUAUCAUCUCUUGAUUCUAAACGGAAGCAGAUUUGGGAAAGGAUUUUCGAGUGUUUAUGGUUGACCAAGAGAGUCUCUUAACACCAUGUUUUUUCUUCUUCCUUCUAUCUAUUCCAUUAGAAUUAUUAUUUUUUAUCUCCAAAAUACUUGCCAUAGUAUGAAUUAAGGAGGAAGGGGAGACAAGCAAUGCUCAGACUGCUCAAAUGCAUUCGGGAUAGAUUAAUCACCCCAAGAUAGGCAUCUGCUGAUUCUCUAUUUCUCUCACAACUGGUUAAACUGUUAGUGCAAUUAGUUACUCCAUGGACAAGGUCACUGGUCAACGCAUGCAAAUAAAACAGAGAAAAAACCUGAAAAUUUUCUUACUAUGAAAGUUAACUAUGAGGUAUACUUCAAUAAGGUUAAUCAAUCAAAAAGGUCAGAGCUCUGAAUAUACUUCAGUUUUCUGGCCCAGAAAAGGUAUACUUCAGUUUUCAAAUUACCACCAGUGAUACACACAGAGAUACCACUAUGAAAACCAAAAAUGAAAGGAUCUUUUUUCCAAAGAUAAAUUUAAGGGAAAAAAAAAAGAAAAAGAAAAAUGUAGUAGUCAAAGCAAUCCCAGGUAUAGAGACAAGUAGUAACGGCAUUAAGUGCAUCUUCCUAAAACGAGUGCAGUUUUAAAGAAGAGAAUAUCCUUGUUUCCUUGCAACCAUGAAUUAUUUUAAUGAAGAGCUUCAGAUGAAUAAACGUAGAGAUCCUACAUUGGCAGAGAGUCUGAAAGCAAACGGCUAACCUUUAAUACGGUCAUCUGGAUAUACAGGAACAUCAAAAUAGACCAAUCCCCGUCGAUACAGACCUUUUAUAAUAUCAGGAUCAAAAAGGACAUAUGCAUUAGCUUCUUCCUUGCAGAUUUUAUCUAUCAUUGCCGUUUCAUCCUCUGAAAGUUUCUAUAAAAGAAACACAGAACUGUGAAGAUGCAGAUUAGACUAACAAAGACAACUAGAUGAACCUAAACAGGCAUAAUAUCAAGCUAAUCUGAUGACAGUCUUUAGAUAAUAAGACAAAGGACAGCCAGAAAUCACCUUAAACUCUUCUACGGUAAAGUUAACAAGAGAAACUCCCCACCAAGGUUCAAUUGGAAAGUCCACAGGUUGGGUAGGUAACAACUCUUUUGCAAUCGACUUGCUCAGCUUCCACAUGAUCUUCUGGAUAGCUCCAGAUAAGUAACCAACAGGUAAGAUGAUAAAAAAGGUACUAUAUUGGAUUUAUAAAUAAAAUCUAGUUUGCAUGAGGCAGGAAAAAUAGUGCCAUCAAAAGUUUACAGGGUAAAUUAUUUUUGCCUGUUAGAAUGGCUUCACCGGACAUGAACGAAAUAAUGGAAGUUCGUCAAACAUAUCUAUACCAGCUGACUCGAGGGGGAAUUGUUAGAACUUAGUCAGCUUCUAAAACAACCCUACCCUGUACUAGAUCAGACAGGAAGUCUAUUGCUUAAACUAAUGUUAUUAUUGUCAAGUAUUGCUCUACAAACAUCAAGGCAAUUAGACAAUGCUGCCCAAAUAAAUACACAGAUAUUGCAAAUCUGUCUAUUAGAAGGGAUUCACAAUACAUGAACUAAAUAAUGAAAGUUCAUCAAACAUAUCUAUACCAGCUGACUCGAGGAGUAAUUGUUAGAGCUUAGCUGGUUUGUAAAACAACCCUACCCUGUAGUAGAUCAGGCAGAAAGUCUGUUGCUUAAACUAAUGUUAUUAAUGUCAAGUAUUGCUCUACAAAUAUCAAGGCAAUUAGACAAUGCUGCCCAAAUAUAUAUAUAUUGCAAAUCUGCCUGUUAGGCAACAAAAAGAAGACAAAAGAAUGAUUCAAGUUAUAGCAAGGGCAAGAAGAAGCAACCAAAAACAUGCCCCCUUACACAAAUAUGCAUACAUGAAUUUGUAAGCAAAAAUCUGAUCAAGUACCUUAGACUUGCAUUUAUUCAUGAUAUCGAUAAAUUCAUUUCUCCCAAUUCCUGUGAGUCUCAAGGCAUCAGCAGCGCUGAAAUUUGGGAUACUGUCAUAAGGUUGCUCUGUCAACAAGAAAUGCCUAGGAAUGGUCAGAGUACCUAUCUAAAUAAGAAAGUAAUACAGAUUCAUAAAGCAGUAACAUUUGCAAAAGGUUACUGCUGCACUAAAUCCGCAUAAUUGCAAACAUAUUUGUCUAUAAAGCAACAUGUAAAUAUUCAAUACUAUAGGAAUGAUCAACCAGUCCAAUCAAAACCUCAACAAGAACAAGUCAAAUUGAUUGUAAAUCUGAACACUGAGAAAUCAAGAAUGAGAUGCUGGAUAUCGAUUUUGUAGCAUCUAAUAUAAUUUCAAAAAAAGAAGGAAACCUUUUAGAUAGCUUGCAUACAUCUACGCUGCAAAUUGUCAUAUAUUAAUAUUUAUAAAGCAAUUAGCAUACAGUGGUAGAUGCAUCGAAGGAAACAUCUUUUCCAUAGAAUUUUUAAGUCGUUUAGCUAAUUUAAUAAUAACUGUAUGUUAACUUAUGAGCCAAGACCAAACCAAAUAAAUUUAAUUAUUACCCAAACUGAAUUAAAUAAAAACCAAACUGAACGCUACAAUUUGAAUCGGUUUUUGAUUUUCCUGGUUUUUUAGCUCUACCCUAUCUACCAAGGAAAAAAAUGAUGAUGGAUUCAAACAUAUCCUAAUCAUCCUUAGCUGCGAAAUUCUUCCAACAAUCAUUUCAUGAUGUGUCCGGUUUUUGUCUAGCAAUGGAUUGAUCUCUAGAUUUCAGUUGCUACUGUUUCCAUUAGCAAGAUUUUUCUUCAGUCAACAUAAUGUCUCAAUCAGCAGUCAUACAAAUACGUAAAAAGGAAGUUGCAGGAGAAAACCAACUAGGUGGUAGCAAUUACCAUUUCUCAUAAGAUCGAAUAUCAUAUCACAGUAAUAUCGGAAAGGAGACACCCUCAUCACACGGCAAAUAUAUUCCGCAAGGUAGUAAGGGAAUAACUACAAUCAAGAUAAUAAAAAAUUAAUUGCAAAGAACUGCUAGAAAUUUAUAAGGGGGAAAAUUGAAGGGCAGAGUCGUUUAACAUCUUGUACAAAAACUUGUUCUGGAAUUCCACUUAAAUGAAAUUUCUGAAUGUUAGUUCUGCUUAUUUAUUAUACAAAAAAAAUCUAUACUUAUGUUGCCAGUGAAAAAUUAAUAUACCUUUAUUGUAACCCAAGAAUAUUGAUCCUAUGAGAAUAAAAGUAUUUCUAAGAACAUAUCAUGGCUCAAAUCAUACUAUAGGAAAUUAUUUUUUUUUAAAAAGGUUAAAGAACUUUCUUUAACACGUACCGCUAGACUCUUUCGCAAGACACGCAUCAGCUCUUCAUAAUAUUCAUUUUCUUUGCAUAUUUUGCGAGCGAAACAAGUGUCCCAUUGGAGCCUUUUCUUGAUACAAUGUUCAAUAAUCCUAAAUGAAGUUAUCAAAAGAAAGAGAAAGAAGCCAAAAAAGAGAGGGUAAGAUCCAAGAAGUAGGAAAGAGAACUGAUCCCAAGAGCACAUUAAAACAUGACUACUUAGUUCUAAACAGGAAAUAAGAACAUACAAUCUAAAAACCAUUAUGUUCUUGCUUAACAGAGAAAAACGAAAUGUACGUUGUAAUAGUAAAUGAAAACUGAUAAAACAACACUAUAUUCAAUAAUCUGUAGAGCUAUCAUCAUGAAACAGCUUCCAAAAAUGUCAACGUCCUAAACAAAAGCUACUGCAAUACCGAUUCUGUACUAACCCCAAACCAAGCAGAAGAUCUUAUUUGGGAAAGACAAACCUCAAUUAUUAAUAGGAGCAUCUAAAAUUCUAAUCUGCGCUGCAAUGGCUAUAAAAAAGCAAUGCCAAUUCAAAUUUCUAAUUAGUUUCAAGAACUUCGUCACCAAAAAGUUAGUUUCUAUCAAUGAUAUUAGAAGCAUGAAAUAAGUAUUUCCUCAUUUGAUGAAUUUUAUCCUAUAUUAUUCUCUAAAACAGAACAAUGAAGUUCUUCAAAGAUACAAACUAAAUGAUCCUUACAACAGCAGUUUAAAAGGUAAAAAGCAUAAAGAGUAAGCAGCAAAGUCCAAAACUAACCUUCUGUGCCAUUCUUCUUUAGAAUUAAAAAUGGCUUGAAGCCGUUUGGGCAAAUUCUCCCACGGGCAUUCUUCCUUAACUGCUUUAAAAAACAACUGUUCCUCGACCGUCGUCGGAAUGUGCUGCAUUUUUGUAGAUCAUUCAAUCUCCUCCCCCUCUGUAAAUCAUUCAAUCAAUCAAUCAAUCAUAAAUAAGGUGGCGUACAUAAAUCAUUUGGAAAAAUCCAAUUUCGAUCCAUGAAAUGAGCAUUACGUGAGAUCGGAUACCUGGAAGAGAGAGAAUAAGAGGGAGCUUUGAUCGCAGUGGCGAUGGCGGAUCGAGCUACGGUUUUGAUUUUUUUCUAAAUUUUUUUGUAAAUCGCUAUAAAGAAAGAUUCAAAUCUAAAGAACUGAAAAAUUAAGGAAGGCGAAACGUUAGAAUUGGCACUACUACGUGCAUGCUUGUUUCAUGACAUGGAUGGGCGGGUCUGGUAUUGCCCUUUGCAUGAAUUUGGAUUUUGCCCAGUCCACUGUGAUUUUUUUUAAUAAAAGGAAAAAAAAAGUACACUGGUCUAGGCUUUUUAUUUCGGCCCAGACAUGGUCCACGGAUAUCGGGUAAUCGGCUCGGCUCAUGAGAGCCCCAAGCAGACAGCACGAUUCACUAAAUAUUAUUUAAAAUAUUAAAAUAUACACUGGUUUUAGAAUUUUUUAUCUUCCUCCCUGAUUGAUCGGGUACCAAUUCAGUUAAAAAAAUAAAUAAUAUAUCAUUUUAUUAAAUCAUGACUAUUAUUAUUUUGAUAAUCUUUUUUGUCUUUUCGUAUUUUUAUAUAGUUUUAAAAUAAAAUAACUAAAUUUAACAAGUUUAGGGAUUGAACUUAUGUUUAAUGAAUUUAUAUAAAAAUCAUUCACCACGACACAGAAUAAUAAUUCUUAAGUAAAUUUUAACAUAAAAUAUUUUAUCUCAUCAAAUUUUACGUGAUUUUCACAUACAUACAGAUGCUUGUUUUAAAAAAUAUAAUAAAUAAUGAAACGUAUGGUGUGAAACUAAUAAUAAUGACAACACAUUUGCAAUAUGUACGAAAUUAAAAUAAAAAAAAUUGCUUAACUUGUGAGUAAAAGAAAAUUUAAAUAGGUAAAUAUAUCAUGUUAAGAAUAUUAAAUACACUCCAAUUGUUUUUCAUGGUAUUAUUUUUCUAUAGCACAUAAAAUAGUUGUCAAGUUAGUGAAAAGAAAAUUCAAUAUUAAAAUUUUAUUUUUAAAAAUUUAAAUAUCGAGUGGGCUCGUGGCACCAACGCGAUCGUUGAUAUUAUCCAUAUGUGAGAAAAUAUCUUAUAUUAAAAGUUAUUUUUUAAAAAUUUACUCAAGAAUUAUUAUUGGUGUAGUGGUAAAAAAUUGUUUAUAAAUUCAUCAAACACGGUUUGGUACUCGGUUAACUCAUGACACCAACUUAGUCAAAGGUUUUAUUAAUAAUAUAGAUUUUUUAAAAAAUAAAUAAAUGAGACUAGAAAUCAUAUCACAUGUGUAUGUGUGUGGAAACCACAAAUUUAGAACACAAAUAUAUGCUUAAAAAUAACAUACAAAAAAUAAUGAAACUUAUGCUUUGAAACUAAUUAAUAAUAACACAUGAAAUACGUACAUAUUAAAAUAAAAAAAAUUAGAUUAAAUUGUUUAUCAUAACUAAUAAAGGAAUUAAAAUAUGUCAAAAUAUCAAAUUAAAGCUUUAGUGAAUGGUAAAUCAAAAGUUUUACUGAUGCAACCGACAUGAGCUUGAAUCGCACCAUUUGUAUAUUUUUAUUGGUUUAUUUUAAAGUGAAAAGAUUAAAAUACUUUCAAAGAAUAUUAUUUAUUUUAAUUAUAGAAGGGUAUUCUCGCAAUUUUCUAACUGAGUGGGUGUCCAAUUAACAACGUUUUAAAGUUUAUGGAUCAAUUUAAAAUGUGAGUGCUAGCUUAAAAGGCAUUUUGUGAAAUUAGCCUUAAAAUUUUUAAUUAAAUUUGAUUUUAAAAAAACGAAAUUAUGAAUUUAUAAGUUAUGCCUUAGGUUAUUGAAGAAUACAAAUUAAGACCAUGAUAAUUUUAUAUAAUUCACACACUACUCGUAAAAGUAAAUCAUUGUCACUAUACGCAUACACAACACAAGUAGACAAUCUUUGCGAUUCAAAUCCAUGACGUGGGUUGUAUACUGAGCACCCUAACGAAUAGGUCAAUAAUGGGGUUUAUUACUUAAUGACCAAAGUAAAUCUAGAAAGCUUGGCUUAAGUUGUUGUUGUGGUUUUAAUCUCAUAUCUUUCUUUGUUAUUAUCUUUUUUCUUUUCUUUUUUUUUUACAAUUUUAUUAUAGGUUCUAAUCAUAUCUGCUCUUUUUGACACAAUGCUUAGAACUAUCCAAUGGCAGAGCCACUAAGAGACCCAGGGGGGUCAUGGCGCCCCAAAAUGGUAGAUUUUCAAUUUAAACCCUUUAUAAUUUAUAAAAUUUUAAAUUAGUAAUGGUAAGAUUAAACUUUGGCCCUCUAAAAAUGAUCAAAAUUUGAUUUAACCUUUUAAAAAUUAUAAGGAUAUAUACUAUUAAAAUGAUGAAAUUGUAUUUUUACUGUCGUAAAAAUAUACAGUUUAAUUUCGGCCCCCCAAAAAUAAUUUUCUGGCUCCACCAUUGGAACUAUCCAUAGUCCCUCCCCAACUCAUAAAUAGAAGGAUAAUACGUUUCAACACACUCGAAUCCAUAACCUUCUAUAUUAACAACAAUGCUUAUACUAAUCGAAUUGAAACUCAAUUUGCUUUUGUGCUUCUUUUUUAGGUUCAUUACUUCAUAUGGGUGCUUCCUUGCCUACAAAACUACUUUAGACUUACGAACUCUAAGAUGAGUGGCGUGGGUGAGUUUCUCAACUCACAUUCUUUAAUAUAUAUUCUUUUUCCAAUAUAGGCCGUACGAAUUAGAGUUGGAAAUUGUGGUCAUUUUAAUGGCUUUCUUGAUUUGGAAUUAAAGCAACAAUCGGUUCAUGUGAAGCUAUAUAAAGUUUACUUUGAAUUUUCAAUCUAAAUCCCAAAAGAAAUACACUUUUAUGAACCUCAUUUGUCCUAAAUUGAAUAGUUUGCUUUGCCAAAAAUGAACUUAUUUGUGUAGGAAUAGUGAUGGCAAAAAAAUAUGUUGAGGGUGAACCUCAUUAUCCUUUUUGUCUUGAAAUGAAAUGUUGAUUGUUGAUAAGCUAGCACUAGAAAGGAGAAAAAAAUAUCUUAAGGAAACACAUUUAUGCACAUCAUUUUGAAACAUUUGAGCAAAUCUAUGUCCCAAUCCCCAAAACAUAUCUUCUAUUAUAUCAUGUGAUUAGAUCAGUGAGCCCAAAGUCAAGUAAGAUUAGUUCCACUUCCUUUUCCCUCACCUUACCUUUUCUAAGAAAAUAACAUAUAAAGCAUGAAGUACUAGGAUGCUCAAAGCCCUUAUCUCUCUCUCUCUUUCUCUUAUCUUUAACCUUAUUUAUCAUUUUUAUUACUAUUUAAUUAAUCUACUUAUCCCUCUUAAUCCAUUUUUAUGUGCAUUAGGGUAACAUCUAAGUUGAAAUCUUAUUAUAGUGUGAUUCUGUUUUUAAAUCAAUGGAUAUGGUUAAAAGAUAAAAAUGAAAAGACUAUAGCCAUUUGAUCAAGCUUUGCAAAAAAUUAGGACUUUGUGCUGGUGACCUGAAACCUAUUAAGUUAGUUAUUGGAUAUGCACUCAAUCUGUAAACCCUUCGAGAUUUUGGUAUUUAGUUUAUCUAUUUUUUCUUAAUUUUAUUAAAUUAAUUAGUCAUCACAAUUUUACUAAAUAGGACAAUUAUAAUUAUUUACUCAUAGAUUCUAAUACAGUAAAAUUUUGGUGACUUUGACAAAAUUAGAAUUGAGUUAACCAAAUAAUUUAAUUAGAUUAAUUAAUUAAAUUUAUAUUUUGGGAAUAGAUACUAGUUAUUAAGUAGGAUAAUUAUAUGGGUUUGUUUUAAUUUAUUAAUUUAAAACUAGACUAUACAUCAUUUUACUCAAUACACGAAAGGCUCAAGGAGCUCAGUUAAUGGACAAGUAGGUGACACUCUAAAGGCGGGUCUCCCUAUGCUUGCCUCCUACCCCUAUUGGAGUUCUACUAGAAGUCCAAUUUUCUAUUAAAAUAUUAUUUUCUAAUCUUCCUAUUCUAGUAGAACUCUUGUGAUUUUUUUCCUAUAUAUAGGAACAAGGGGUUGCUGAAAAUCAUAAGGAAAUACACUAUUAUACUCUACCGAAUUUUAGAGAAAAUUUUCUUUGGAUUCUUUAUUUGAACUCAAAUAAAUUCCAUCUUUCGUGAGUAUUUGUAGUAUAACUUUGUAAGAUUAUAAUUGCAUACACAUUGGCAAUUUUAAUUCAAAUUUGUGAGUUUGAAUUUUUUAGUUUUAGAUUUUCGCUAGAAAGUCUUGAUUUUCAUCCUAUGAUUGGUUCUUAAAUAGAGCCCACUCUCCGAGUAUAUUAGAGUUCAAGAAUAGUGGAUAAGAUCACUUGGUUGAAAGCUAAAUGGAUUUAAACACUAGAGUUAAGAUUCAACAAAUCUUUCUAGCUUGAAAGCACAUAUAAUAAAUUUGGUGAAAUUUAUUACCAUAUAUAUCACAACCAAAGUCAUGAAAAAUUUUAAAAUUCUGUUCUGCAACUAAAAUUGUUUCUCAAACCUAUUUUUUCUAACACUGUUUAGUGUUACCGGAUCUACUCCAACCUUCCUCUCUGUCUUCUAUUGGUACAUCAUGUUCAUUUGUUUGCAACACUUCCUCUCUUUAUCAAAAAAUCAUCUAUACACCUCAAUCCAAAGAACACUCCCCUAAACAAGAAAGAAAAAUGCAAGAUCACAUCUCAAUACAAAAAACCUAAAAACCCUUGAAAGUGACAAAACAUUAUAACAAGAAUACUCUACAAACGCAACCAAGCUUAGUAAGAAAGUAAAAACAAAAAUUUGAAAUCAAGGACAGUCUUUAGCAUCACAAAACAUUAAGAGCUAUGAAUCUUCACGACAAACUCCAAACACUGUCAUAUAAGUCAAAUGCUACCAUUUAACAGAUAUAAAAAAAUUGUAACACUCCUAACCCAAAUCCGUCGCCGGAACAGGAUUAAGGAGCAUUACCGGAGUUAAUAGAAUAAUUUCAAUUAAUUUAUGUCAAUUACUAUUCAUAUCAGGAACCAACCAUAUUUAAUCAUAAUGUCUAUUGAAUGAGCCCUCGAGACCCAAUUGAUGCUUUAGAAAAUAGUCGGGACUAAAUCAAGAACUUAGAGAAUUUUUCACAAAAUCUCAAAAUAUUUCUUAAGUGCAGGGGACACACGCCCGUGUCCCUGGCCGUGUGGGCAUUCGAUGUGAGGCACACGGCCGUGUCCCAGCCCGUGUCCAUGCCUGUGUAACUCUCUGACUUGGGUUACACAACCAACUACACGGUUAUGUGUCAGGCCGUGUAGAAAAUUUAAUUUUUGAAAAUUAGGUGCAGGGGUCACACGACCAAGCCAUAAGCCCAUAUGAUAAGUCAUGUGACACACACAGUUGAGACACACGCCCGUUUCUUUGCCUGUGUGAGCAAUUCUAAGCAUUUUAUUUCUCAAAUUUUAAGAUGCUGGGGACACACGGCCAAACCACACGCCCGUGCGCAUGACCAUGUGUCACACACGGCUGAGACAUGCGCUCGUACUCAAAUUUGCGGUCCAAAACCACUGUUCUGAUUUCACUAAAAACAGACUAUUAUAACUCUCCCCCUUUAAGAAUUUUCAUCCUCGAAAAUCUUACUAGAAAGAGGUUUGGAUAUUGCUUUCUCAUAGUUUCCUCCGGUUCCCAAGUAGCUUCUUCUAUUUCGUGUCGUUGCCAAAGGACUUUUAUUAAAGCUACCUUUUUUUCUCAAUCCUUUCAUCUCACGUGCCAGAAUUUUGAUCGGUUCCUCACUAUAAGUCAUGUUAGGCUAGAUCUUGACCUUUGUCGGUGAGAUAACAUGUAAAGGAUCUGACACGUAAAAAAUAUUAUGAAUCUUGUCAAGUUCUGGAGGUAGUGCCAAUCAGUAUGCAACAGGUUCAAUUCUUUCAAUAACCUCAUACAACCCAAUAAAUUGAGGACUCAAUUUUCCUUUAAGGCCAAACCGAAGAACUUUCUUCCAAGGCGAUACCUUCAAAAAUACCUUAUCACCAACUUGAAAUUCUAUCUCUUUUCGUUUAAUAUCAGCAUAAGACUUUUGACGGUCAGAGGUUGCUUUCAAACUAUCCCAAAUUACCUUUACCAUUUCUUCAGUUUCUCGGAUUAAAUCAACUCCGUGUAUCUUUUUUCUCACUAAGCUCAGUCCAAUACAACGGAGUUCUACAUUUGUGACCAAACAAAGCCUCAUAUGGUGCCAUUUUAAUACGGGACUAAUAACUAUUAUUGUAUGCAAAUUCAACUAAAGACAGAUACUUUUCCCAAUUACCUUCGAAUUCCAAAACACCAUUUCAGAGUAUAUCUUCUAAAAUCUAUAUCACACGUUCGGAUUGUCCAUCAGUCUAAGUAUGAAAAAUGGUGCUGAAAUGUAACUGUGUACCUAGAACUUCUUGCAACUUAUUCCAGAAUCGAAAUGUAAACCGAGGAUCCCUGUCUAAAAUAAUGAAGACCGGCAUUUCAUGUAGUCAGACAAUCUCAAAAACAUAUAAGUCUACAAAUCUAUCCAGGGAGAAAUCCAUACGUACCGGAAUAAAGUGUGCGGAUUUCGUUAAACGAUCAACGAUUACCCAAUUGGCAUCUUUCUUUUUCAGAGAUAGGGAUAAUCCUGAUACAAAAUCCAUAGUAACUCUUUCUCAUUUCUACUCCGGUAUUAUAACUGGAUGCAAUAAUCCCGAAGGCACCUGAUGUUCAGCUUUAACUUGCAGACAUAUCAAACAUUUAGAUACAAAUUAAAAAAUAUAAUGUUUCAUUCCCGGCCACUAGUAUAUCUUUUUCAAAUCGUUGUACAUUUUGUUACUCCCAUAAUGAAUAGACAUAGUACCAUUAUGAGCUUCAUGUAAAAUCUUCUGUAUAAGUUUUGAAUUCUUCGAUACACAUAUUCUACCUCUGAAUAACAGACAACCAUCAGACCCAAUCUGAAAUUUUGAAUCGAAAUUUGACUCACAUUGUAUCCAUUUAGCUCGUAAUUCAUCAUUAUUUUUCUUAGCUUCACAAAUCUGCUGUAGAAAUGUCGGUUUAGCUUUUAACUCAGCUAUGAUUGAACCAUCAUCAUAUAACAACAACCGGGUAUUUAUUGAUCGCAAAGCAAACAAAGAUUUCUACUCAGAGCAUCUGCAACCACAUUGGCUUUUCCCGGAUGAUAAUCACUAACCAGAUCAUACUCUUUCAAUAAUUCAAACCAUUUGCGCUGUCUCAAGUUCAAGUCUUUUUGCGACAUCAGAUACUUUAAACUUUUAUUAUCAGUGAAUAUAUGGCAUUUUUCACCAAACAGAUAGUGCCGCCAAAUUUUCAGUGCAAAAAUAAUGGCUGCCAAUUCUAAAUCAUGUAUUGGAUAAUUUUUUCAUGUGGUUUUAACUUUCUAGAAGCAUAGGCUAUUACUUUACCUUAUUACAUAAAAAAAACCCAAACCAUUCAACGAUGCAUCACUAUAAAUCACAAAUUCCUUACCCGAUUCAAGCUGAACUAACACUGGUGCUUCAGUCAACAAGGUUUUCAAUCUUUCAAAACUCUGCUGACAUUUAUUAGUCCAUUCAAACUUCAUAUCUUUCUGUAACAAUCAUGUCAUCGGAGAAGCUAUCAUCAAGAACCCUUUUACAAAUCUUUGACAGUAACCAGCUAAUCCCAGAAAACUUCUGACUUCAGACACAUUUUUCGGAGCUUUCCAGUUAAUAAUUGCUAAAAUUUUAUUCGAGUCCACUCUGAUGCCUUCAGUAGAUACUAUAUGUCCAAGGAAACCAACUUCCUAAAGCCAAAGUUCACAUUUACUAAAUUUGGCAUACAGUUUUUUUCUCACGCAGAGUUUGCAACACAAUUCUCAAAUGAUCAGCAUGUUCACUUUCAUCUUGGGAGUAUACCAGAAUAUCAUCAAUAAACACUACAACAAAUCUAUCCAGAUACGGUUUAAAAAUUCUAUUCAUUAAAUCCAUGAAUACCGCAGGUGCAUUAGUCAAGUCGAACGGUCUAAAAAUUGAUCUCUAUACAUUAGCAUCAAUAUCUGAUUAUUCUGUCAGUCAUGCCAGUUUUUAACAAUAGAAAGGGAUGAAAUUUUUAACAAAAAAGACCAACACUUCCUACACUUGUUGCGAAUGGAGCUGGAGAUCUUGAAUUAAAGCAUUGAGAGCCUCAGUCUCUCUCAGAAUACCCCAAAAAUGUGGUAGAGCAAUCAUGAUAUUUCUUUGAUUUCUUUGAAGCCGACGAUUGUGACUUUCCCAUAAAUCUUUUACUCGGAGUUCGGGCUUCUAUCUUUGCUAGCCUCUUUUCUUUGCUUAGCUCCUCAGCUUUAUGUGCCCAGUCAACUGACACCACAGAUUCUUUUAAUUACAGAAUUCCAACCAAUAACUUAAUGUUUUCAUUUAAUCCUUCUUCAAAACAUUUACACAUGGCAACUUCAGUCAGAACACACUUUGUGGCAUACUCGCUUAAUUUGACAAAUUCUUGUUUGUACUCAGAUACUGUCAUAUUUCCCUGUUUAAGCUCUAGAAAUUCUUUUCUUUUCUAAUCCAAAAAUCUCUGACUAAUAUACUUCUUUUUGAAUUUUGUUUGGAAAAAUUCUCAUGUAACAUUUUCCUUCGGUACAAUAGAAACUAGAGUAUUCCACCACUGAAAAGCCAAAUCUUUUAACAAAGACACUACACAUUUCAAACAUUCAGCAGGUGUACAAGAUAAUUCAUUCAAAACCCUAAUGGUAUUUUCUAGCCAAAAUUAAGCCCUUUCUGGAUCAUCUUCAACAAUGACCCUAAAUUCUUCCACCCCAUAUUUCCAAACUUUAUCUAGCGGAGGCUUACCAGUUCUAACAAGUUCAGUACCUUGUGGUAUAUCAGGAACCAGUAAAGAAACAUGAGGGGGAGGUUGUUGUACAGCAGGAUUUGUUCUCAAGUAUUCAGUGAACCAUUCAUUCAUCAUUUGAAAGAAGGCUUUUUUAGCCUCCUCACCUCGGCCCUCAGAUACGAGCCUUAUACUACUGGAAAUAGCUCUUUAAACUAAAGCUUGAGCAUUGUUCUCAGCUUCCUCGAAUUCAGCUCGGUCGGAUGACAUUACUAUAUGAAAAACAUGUUUAAAAUUGUCUGGAGAUAUCACACUAUCUCAAAUUAUAUAAUCGCAUAGAUAGCUAAGCUCGUACUUGCUACGUUAGUCUGAGAAUCGGCUAAACCAUAGCUUUAAUACCAAUAAAUGUAACACCCCUAACCCAUAUUUGUCGCCGGAACAAGAUUAAGGAGCAUUAUUGAAGUUUACAGAACAAUUUCAAUUAAUUCAUGUCGAUUACUAUUCAUAUUAGAAACCAAUCAUAUUUAAUCAUAAUGUCCCUUGAAUGGGCCAUCGAGACCCAAUUUAUGCUUUAUAAACAAGUCGGGACUAAAUCAGGAACUCAGAGAAUUUUUCGCAAAAUCUCAAAAUUUUUCUUAGGUGUAGGGGACACACGUCCGUGUCUGAGGCCGUGUGGGCAUUCGAUGUAAGGCACACGGUCUUGUCUCAGCCCGUGUAACUCUCUAACUUGGGUUACACGGCUAGCCAUACGUUCGUGUGUGUCUGAGGCCGUGUAGGCAUUCGAUGUAAGGCACACGGUCGUGUCUCAGGCCAUGUAACUCUCUAACUUGGGUUACACGGCCAGCCAUACGUUCGUGUGCCAAGUCGUAUGGAAAAUUUAAUUUUCAAAAAUUAGGUACAGGGGUCACACGGCCAAGUCAUACGCCCAUGUGCUAGGCCAUGUAACACACACGGCUGAGACACACGCCCGUGUCUCUGUCCGUGUGAGCAAUUCUAAGUAUUCUAUUUAUCAAAUUUUAAUAUGAAGGGGACACACGGCCAAACCACACACCCGUGUCUCUGCCCAUGUGGAAAAAAAAUAAAGCCAUUUCCAAGCCUUAUUUCUCACUGAUCCUAGCAUCAACAUAUCCAACCAAUUUUUUUGUACCAUUACAAGUCACAAUAGAACAUUCAAUUCAAGCCAAUUUCAAAUUCAAUACAUGUCAUAACAUCCUAUUUAUCCAAGUAUUUGAUAUUACCUAAUUGGCCAUAUAAACAUGAGUAUAUUUUACCCAUUCAUGCAACCAUUAAUAUAUUUAUGUAACUUCAAUCAUUCAACCAUUUCAAUACACACAUCAAGCAUGAUAAGGCCUCAUAUAACAACAUCAAAAUAUGCUUAACACUAGUCAUUCCAAUGGCUAGUUAUAACCAAAAUAUCUCCUCAUUAUGCUUAACAUAGCUUAUACAUUCCAUUAUACCAAAAGUUAGCUUGCUUUAUAUACCGAGAAGUCUAAGGGAUAGUGUGGUGUGUCUCCGACCAAGUUCUAACCUUCACGAGCUUCUGAGCACUAUAAAACAGAGGAAGUAACACAUAGUAAGUAUAUUAUACUUAGUAAGUUCGAAUAACAAAAAAUUUACUUACCACUCCUUUACAUUUAAGAUAAGCUUACAAAAUUCAUCCAAAGAAAUUUGGUAAUUUGCCCAAACACAUAUAAUCUCAAGAAACUUGUUAGUCAUGUAUUACAUGUAAACAUUAAGAAUUAAGGAUGAGCUCAUCAUGUAAAAAAUUUCAUAUACAAAUGCUUUUCAUAUCAUAUUUCCAUUUAACAUGUGCAUUUCCAUGACAAAUCAUGUUAAGUUUAGUUUAACCAUGUCAAAACUUUACCUGUUGAAUUUAUUUAAAAUAUCGAUGGAUACACAUGUAGUACACUCAAAGUGUAUAAAAUUAUAAUCCUUCAAUUCAUAUGCAAGAGUGCUCUUUAAAGCACAUAAUCGGAAAAUCCUCUCUCAAGCUAUAUAACAGGAAGCUCACAAAGAGCCAUUAAUCAAUAAGCGCACAAAGAGCCUAUCAGGAAGCUUAUCCGAGCUAUAUAACAGGAAACUCAUAAGAGCUAUAAUUAGGAGGUUCACAAAGAACUUUUAAUUAGGAAGCUCACGAAGAGCCUUUAAUCAGGAGCUCCGGAUAGCCAUAUAUCGAGAAGUUCAAGCGAGUCAUAUCAGGACGUUCACAAAGAGCUACGUUUGUGUCCGCAAUACAUGUAGGAUCACAACCGAUCAUAUAACAAUAUGCUCAAAUUUUGAAUUUCAUAGCUAUUUGAUCCUUUUAGCUACUAGAAUUCAACUUUUGCAUUUUAUGCAAUUUGGUCCUUUUCUCAAUUAAUCAUGAUAUCAAUAAAAUUUUCUUAACGAAAUUUUCAUACAAUAUUCUUAUCAUAAUACAGAUCAUAAAAUAAUAUUAAAAUAAAUUUUCUUUCAGACUCGAAUUUGUGGUCCCGAAACCACUGUUUCGAUUUCACUGAAAACGGACUGUUACAAAAAUCUUCUUGAGACAUAAGCUUACAAAUGUAAGAUUAAUCUCAAAAUUAUUCAUUGAACAGUUUCCCAUAUCAUCAUUUACUCACCUUUGAAAAAUGCUAGUACAAAUAUUUGUAGCUUUUCUUCGCAAUUCAAUAUUUGUUAUUUCCAUAACUACCUAUUCUCCCAUUCCAACUACAUCAAGAGUUAAUUGUUUGCUCAAAAGUCAAGCUUCUUCAGCCUCUUUGACAAUGUCUCUCUUCCAAUAUGUAAUAGUGUCAACCUCCUCACUUUUUCUUGUAUUUAUAACAUUCCCUGUUGAAAUAGAUUUAUCAACAACCUUGAACACUUUGUUCCCUAAUAAACCCUUUGCCUUCGCAUUUCUUUUCAACAUCUUCUUCUUUCUGAGUUUUUCCCUUUCCUUUUAGCGAAGUCUUUAAGUUUUGUAAAUCAUUGAUCAUCACCAAUGUUCAACCCUUUUUAUUUAAUACCACUAAUCUCCUUCCCUCUUUUCUAUCAUCCAUCAUGUUACCAGCUUCAUUUUCAAUAACCAAAAUUUCAUUAAAGGUACCCUAGUAGCCCUGCAUCAAACUUUGUGUGGUUGCCACAUCACUUAUAAUGUUGUCUCUAGGCGUACCAUUAACUUCACAAUUUGUUUCAAGCUAACUAUUAAAAACAUCUACAUCUUUCUCUUUUAUCUUGGUUAUCAUGCACCAAAUGAAAGCCACAUUCUUCUUCAUUAGCCUCUCUAGACAAUUCUGUUGGAAAAAUUAUUUAUGAAAACGACUUUGUUGCACAACAAAUUUUUAAUAAUUUUGAUAAAACUUGAACCUUUGUUGUGUUAUCCAUAACAAGAUUUCUAGCUUUUAACCGAACGGUCUUCUCCACUAUCCUCGAACCCUCGAUUGCUAAAAGAGUGGGGCUUUUAUCACAAACCAAACAUAGAAUGAAAAUUGCAACUCUCUAAUAAGAAAAUUUCACUUUCUCUAUGGUAACCAAAAUCGAAAUUACUAUCACGAGUACUCACAAAAAAUAGAAUUUAUUUUAUAGCUAAAUAAAUUUUCCUAAAUUUCAACAGAGUAUCCAUGCAUGACUGAUAUGUCAAUUUGGCUAUAUUAUAGUCCCUAUUAAUAGAAAAAAAUCACAAGAGUUCUACUAGAACAAGAAGAAAGAGAAAAUAUUAGUUUAACAGAAAACCAAAGUUCCCCUAGAACUCUUAUGUGUUGGGAUACCUAGUGUGGCACCCCCUAUUGCUAUUGGGCUCCUUGGGCACAAAAUGAUGAAGUAACUACACUAAGGGCACAAAACCUCAAUAAAUUCAACUACAUUUGUCGUCCUACCGUUCAUAUAUGAUUUCAAAUUUGAUUGAGAUUUAAAGUCGUAUGAAUCUUUUGAUUCAACUUCCUCAGUAUAACAACAACAAAAGAUUGAUAUGGUAAUUAGAUCAAUUCCCAAGACUCUAACAAAGAACAAAAAGCACUUUAUCUCCCACAUGAAAACCAAUUAAUUCUCCAAUUUUCUCUAAUUUCUAUAUGAUUAUCUAUAUAUACUACCCCCAUAUAAUGGAACUCCCUCUACAAUAUCAUUGUCAACACAUACAAUAUAUUAUCUAGAUUGUAAGAAACUGUGUAAUCGGAUGGUACCUAUUGUAAUUCAUGUGCACAAUUACACUAUAUGUAAUAAAUAUUGUAAUAUGAUAAUGUUUUUGUAAUAAUUGUAAAAUCUUAUUAGGACUUUUGCUAUUAUAAUAUAUUAUGUAGCCAAUAAGAAAUUGUGUAAUCGGGUAGUAUAUUCUAAUUUACUUUCCACAAUAGAUUACAAUAUAUGUAAUAAAUACUAUCUUUAGAUAAUAUUUUUAAUAACAAAAAAACCUUGAAAAUUGUUCUUUUAUAAAAUAUAUUAUAUAGAUAUUAAGAAAUUAUGUAAUUAGAUAAUAUUUAUUAUAAAUUUUUUUACACAACAUAUCACAAUGUAAAUAAAAAAAAUACUAACUUUAAUGACUUAUAAUUACUAAUAUAAUGAAACUUUACCCUAAACUAAUUUUAAAAUGGUUAAAAAUAUAAUAUUAGUCCAUGUACUUAGGAUUGGAGUUUUCCCUGUAUUUUUAAGUUAAAAAAUUAAGUCUUUCUAUUUUAUUGAUUUAAAAAUUUCAGUAAUUAAAAUCGAAGUAUUUUUCAUUAAAAUUUAUUAACUUAAAAUUUUGAUUAGCUGUUUUCAUAUGAUAUAAUAUAUGAUGGACAAAAAGUAAAUAUAUUAAAUUAAUAAAUUUAUUCAUUGUUGAUAAUAAUGGUUAAUUAAUUUAUUAUGAAUAUUUUUUAAAAAAUAAAUGAUUAAUCAUAAAGUAUAUUGUAUUUUAUGAGAAAAAAAAUUAAAUUUUAAUCAUAUCCCUUAAAAUUAUUGAACUCUGUGUCAUUUUGGACCGACUUGCUUUAUAGUUGACAGAUGUCAAUUUCUAAAUAGUUGUCAUUUACUGCUACAAUGAAGUCGGUGCUAAAAGUAUAUUGCCAACAUCAGUUUCUUUCCUUCCAUCUUUGAAUUGUUUCAAUUUAACACCUGCUUAUUAGUUUUUUGGUUUCUUUUGGUGCUAUAAGGAAGCUAUUUCGUAAAUAAUUAUUAAAGCCAAUGAUUAAUUUAAAAUUAUAUCAACUUGAAGUAAUUAAAAUUUAAAAUAAUUUAGACCAAUAACGGCCCAUUUCAAAAAUCAAAACUUUAAACUCGAAUACAAAAUAAUCGAUUAUAUAAAUGAACGUAUUUUAAAGUAGGGUAAAUUAUAAUUAAAAUUAUUAAACUAUUAAUAAAUUUAUAUUUUGAUCACUCGAUUAUAAAAAAUUACAAGUGUUUGAAAAUUUUAAUUUAAAUCACUGACAUAUUAAAUCUUUAAUAUAAUAGUCACGUAAUUUCCUUUAACGAAUUAAACCUAAUCCAUUUUAUCUAAAAAUACUAAAUUGAACUCAAGGACACUAGUAGAAAAACUUAAAAUAUAAUAAUUUACUUAUUAAAGAUUAAAAAAAAAAAGAAAUUCAAAAUGUUUUCUUAAAAUCAUGUGAAAAUGCUCAUUAAAAAUUCUAAAAUGAAAGCUUUUGAAUAGUUUUUUUUUUUUUGGAUUAGAAAAAUACUUCCAAGUAUUGAUUGAUUAAACAAAGCACCACAAUAUCAGCAACAAAGGAAAACAUCAGUGAACAAUAUAGGAAAAUAAGAGCCUAACAAAAUUAAAAGAGCAGACAUAAAAUCAACUCUACCAGUGUCAGGCCGAGCUCGAAAUUAGGCGAUAGGCGAAACUGACAGGCCAUCCUUGUCCAAGAUAAACACCAAGGAAGAUGGUGGGUGGUGAAUCCAACCCUCCAAACUCAUCUCCACUUUAACCUACUUAGCUACCCAAUUUACAGUUUUGUAAUAGUUUAGUUAUUAUUUUGUAAAAUUUUGAAAUCGAGUGAUUAAAAUUUAAACUUAGUAAUAGUUCAAUAACCUUUGAUACAAUUUACCCUUUGAAUUAUAGAAAUUAAUUAUAAAGUUGAAAAUUGUUUGUAAGGUGGUAAAGAAGAGGAUAACAAAUUACUAAAUAGGAAUGAGUUGUAGUAGGACACGAAUGCUCAACAAUGGAAAGUUUGUUUCUUGCAAGCUAAAUAAAAAUGACAAAACCAAGACCUCCCAAUUAAAGUAAACCCAUUUUUGAAAAAGAAGAAACUUUUUUUUUCUUUAACAAAGGGAAGAAGACAGCAAUGGUGAAAAUCUGAUUGAAAACAUGUUUUGAAAAACAGUGUAGGAAAUGUGCAAAACAAAAUUCAACAUUGGCAUUUAAUGAAGCCGCAUUCUUUGAAACAACCACUAAUGGUAGGAGCCCAUUUAAGGAAAGAAAAUCAUGCAAAUGUUAAAUAUGAGUAUUUGUUUUCAUGUCUAUCGAGGUCUAACUCGAUCGGUAUGGAUAUUGUUGUCAAUAUAAAAGGAUGUAGGUUCGAGUGUGCUGAAGUGUAUUAUAUAUCUAUAGAUAUAUCUAUUCAUGGGUCAAGGAGGGACGAUAGAUAACUCUAAUCAAAUAAAUAAACAAAUAAAUUGCAUUUUUAUUUUCAUAUAAAAAUAUAUAUGUCUAAUGUAAAUAUUUUUGAAAAAAAAUUUGAAGCAACAUAGGACAAAAUUGAAAACAAACUAACGCAAAAAGGGGGAUUUCUCUUUCUUCUCUGGUAAAAGUAUCAUAGAGACCCCCUAUAGUAAAUUGUGUAUCUAAGGGAAUUGGCAGGGCUCCGACCUCCCUUAAAAUAGAAAAUUGUACAUUUAGGCUAUUUAAAAAUUUUAAAUUAGUAAAAAUAAAAUUGCAUUUUGCCUCCCCUAAAAAUGAUAAAAAAUUUGAUUUAAUCUUUUAAAAAUUAUAAAGAUAUAGGUUAUUGAAAAUUAAAAUUUAAUUUCAGCCUCCCUAAAAAAAUUUUCUGGCAUCAUACCUGCCUAUAGUAAAAGUUGGAUUGCCUUUUGACCCCUCUACUCAAAAAAUUGAUAAAUCAGUCUCUGUACAUUAGAUCAAAGAGCAAAGUGGUCUUUUCUGUUAAAAUUUUCAUCUAAUUCUACCAUUAAAAAUUGAUCUCUAUACAUUAGCAUCAAUAUCUGAUUAUUCAGUCAGUCAUGCCAAUUUUUAACAAUAGAAAGGGAUAAAAUUUUUAACAAAAAAGAGCAAUUUACUUUUUGAUCUAACAUAUAGAGACUAAUUUAUCUAUUUUUUGAAUAGAAAGAAUAAAAUACAAUUUAACUUUAAAUAAAAGGACCUCUAUAGUACUUUUACCCUCCUUCUUGUAGACGUGUAUAUGUUGUCCAUCUGUUGAAAUUUGAUGUUAUUAUGAUUGUAAUAUCACAUCACAUGCAUUAAAUGGCAUUAAACACAGGUCUUAUUCUUCAAUAUUUUGAGAAAAAUUUGAUCUUCUUAAAAAUCAUGCCUACAUUUUUAGUCUAGAAUUGAUUUUAGAUUAAGUUUUAUUUUAAUUAUUGAUUUUGAUUUAUUUUGUUUAUACAUAUGUGGACUUUAAUAAGUUUACUUGUAACUUCAAAACCACAAUUAUGCAAAUCUCUUUGGAUAUCUUACCCUACCAACACACUUUCAUUACACAAUUUAAGGUGGGUCAAAAUUUUUUGGUCAAAUGCUAGAUUAGUUUAAUAAUAAAAUUAUUAAAAUUAUUAGGGGUGGGCGUUCGAUUGAAUCGAGUGAAGAAUUUUUUAGUUAAUCUAGUUGAUGAGUCCUAUUUUAUCAUCCUAACUCCAUCUGAAAUUUUUUCGAAUUGAGUCGAGUGAAAUUGUUUUAAGUUAAAUUAAAAUUUUAAACUUGUCAAAUUAAAAUCUUGUUCUAGUAUACCUAAUUCCAUGUUAGACAAGUAAAUUUGAAACUAUAUAUAUUUAAAAACUUUUUCAAAGCAAAAUAAGAAAAGGAAACAUACUUUAGUAUGAUAAACUUGAAUCAUUAAUUAACUUGGGUCUCAAAAUUAUUAUUUUAUAAAUUCUUUAAAAUUUUAAAUUUCUUUAUAUAUUCUUAAAAAUAUAUACAUUUUGGAAUUUUAUAAAGAUUUUAAUUUUUAAAAUUAUUUUUGAAUUUUUUAAAAUUAUUUGAAUUUUAUUUUUGUAAUUUUUGUUGAGAGAGUGACCAAUUUGCUCAUUUUCAAAAUUGUCAGGAACCUAAGGGGUAUUUACACAAAUAUGUUAUUCAAAUUAUUUGAAUUAUUCGAGUUAUUCGAAUUAUAAAAUUCAACCCGACUCGAACUCAGAAUUCGAAUUACUUAUUCGAGUUGACUCGAAAUUUGAUUUUUUCUAAUUGAAUCGAGUUUUGCUCACUCCUAAUUUUGUUAUUAGUUUAAUAACAAGAAGAAGAAAAAAAUAAUGUAUAUGUGUAAAAAUAAUUAGACAUAAAAUAAGGAAUAAUUAAUAUAAAUUUAAACUUGAAAUUAGAAGGUUGGUAAAACUCUUGUAAAAAAAAAACUCUCCAAAAUAAGUAAAAAAGUUCUUUCUUUUUACCAUAAACAAAUCAUAUGAGUGGUUAAAAAUUACUAAUUGUAAUUAAUUUAUUGCUAAUUCAUGUAUUAAAAUAUAUGAAAAAAUAAUGCUACCAAACAUAAAUAAAUUUAAAUCAUGAAAUAUCAUUUUAUUAUAUUUAAUAUUAUUAAAAUGACAUUGAUAUAUUUUUAUAAUUCUAAUGAUACUCAUAUUACAUAUUUUACAUACAAAUACGUAUUUAUUUCAAUAUUUUUAUUUUAUAAUUAUUUUUUAUCACGUGAAUUUCAAUUAUUUAAAAUUCCUUUAUUUAUACUAACAAAAUAAUUACACAUAUGACUAAUUUACUUUUUAACCUAAAAUAUAAGUAUAAGCCGGUCAAUUUAUUAAAAAAUUAAUUUAAUAAAUUAAAUUACUUUUUUAUUCCACAAUUGGAUUAAUAAAUCAUUAUAUGUCUCAUUUCUUUAGGUUUUAUAUUUUAAAAUACCAAUCAAGAAUAGGCGAUGAUUUUUAAAUCUACUCAUCGAAUUAAAAAAGCCUUCACCAUUAAUGUAUCAAAUAAUUAUCCUUAAAUGAACUAAUGACACGAAUGACUCCUAUAUUUUAGUUUAGUUUUAACGUGAUACCUUUACUUUUAAAAUGUCCAAUUUAGUCCAUGAAAUGUCAUUUUGUUUAUAAUUUGAUACCUGAACUCUAACAAUGUUUAAUUUUUUUUAAUGACAUGAUUGUUUGACCAAUGGAAUUGUGAUGCAUGGCACUUUUACCAAUAUUUAAGGAAAAUAAAUUUAAGGUAACACAUGUUACCCUUUCGUUGGUAAAUUUGAUAUAUUAUAAUAAAAUUAAAGUCGUUAGGGUCAAGUAUAGCAUUGAUUGAUAGAAUGAAACUUCAGGUAUUAAAUUGGUUUUUUUUAAACUAUAGGUGUCAUUAUUUGUUUUACGGCCUGAGACUAAUCCUAUUUAGGCCCAUUAGAACUAAACCUAAAGUGUAAGGAUCAUUCAUUUUGUUAAUUCUUUUUUAAAUUGAAUUUUUUCUUUUCUUUUUUGAUUAGGGGGAGAUGGCAAUAAGUUGAGUAAAGGCGGAGGUUGCUAAAUUCAUUACUGCUCCAUAGUUGUCAUGCUCUGACUCACCACCCGCCUUGCUUCACUAUAAAUGUGCAGUCAUGAAAACUACUAUAACUUCUAUGAAUAUCGGAUACGAUCAUUUUCAAUUUAAUUUUUGUUAGUUAUUUUUAAUAUUUUUAGUAUUUUUAAAGGUAAACAAUAUAUAUAAACAUAAUCUUUCAAAAAAAAAUUCAAUAUACGAUUAAGGGAAAAAAGUAUAAGAACAUAGAAUUUUUCGAAGCUUAUGUUAGGAUUUUGGUGUCCCAACUUUUUUUUAUUCUAUGUUCAUACCUAAACUAUCCAUACGUAUUUUAGUCCAAAAGUUAAUGGCCUAUUUUUUAGUCCAACCAAUGAGAUUGCACUAUGUGUCUAUUUUGUUUUCAUAUCAUUGGUGAUGUAUUAACCCAUCAUUGAUCGGGUGUUGAUCAAUGUUGAUAAGUAUUGACCAAUCAUUUGCUUUGGUAUUUUUAAAGUUUUUAAAAAGUAUUAUAUUUAAUUUUUUUUAAACAUAAAUAUUUCAAAUUUUUAGAAUUUCUUCUAAAUUUUAUAUAAUAUUUUUUGAAAAUUUAAGAGUUUUAACUAAUUUAUUAAAAAAACAAUAUAUAUUUUAAAACUUUAAUUUAUUAUAAUUUUAUACAUAUAUUUUAGAAUUUUUAAUUUUUUUAAAAUUUGUUCAGAUUUAUAUAUUUUAAAUCUUUAAAAAUUUUCCUUUUUGGAAAUAUUUAUAUAAGGUUUUUAUAAAUUAUUAUUUUAUAUAAUUUAUAUAUUAUAAAAAAGCUUUUAAAAUUUUAAUUUAUAUAUAUAUUUGAUUUUUAAUUAUAUGUGUGUAAAGAAAUAUCACAUUGUGCAAUUUCACUGGCCACGCGUCUCACCUAUUUUUCUAAUACCAUUAAAUAAUUUAAAUACUAAAACAGAAUAAAAAAAUUAGGCACCUAAAUAGAAAAAUAGAUAUAAUACAAAGACCAAAUUGUAUCAUAAUAUUUUUAUUUUUUUAAUAAUUAUAUAUAAAAUUAAGACAAUUAAUAACCAUAACUAUUUCAUAUCCGUUGUUAAAAAAAUUCACUUUAUCUCGUUUUAUAUAUUUAUUUCAAAAAUUUUAUUUGAUUUGAAUCGAAUCGAUAGAAUGAAUUCAAAAGAGAUUACAUCACUAUUUUUUUUUUAUGAGAUCUGCAAUCACCAAUCUUUUGUCAGUCAGCUUUGAGUGUCACAAUAUAUAGCAUUCUUUGCAAUUAAGCCCUCCCCCAAAAAACCAAACAGAUCAAAACAGCAAACCUGCUUGAAAGUUUGAAACCCCCCGCCCCCCCCCCCCCCCCCCCCCCCCACCCCCCUCUCUCCAUCACAAACAACAACUUAAAAUAUAUCAUCUCAGAGUCUUUGGUUUUGGUUUGCAAAUCAUGAAGAGGCUCAGUCCUUCACCUUCCUUGGAUGCUUUCAUGUCCAUCUCUCAGCCUAAAGGUAUACACAUGAAAAUUCCCACCUUUAUUUCAUGUUUCUUUAACCCAAAUUCGAUGUGUUUAAUUCAGUUGAUUGUGCAGAGGAGAAGAGUUCAAAGAAGCACCAAAUUUACAGCAAGGAAUUCCAGGCUAUGUUAGAUGGUUUAGAUGAAGAAGACAGCUUAGAAGAAGGUGGUCAAGCAACAGAGAAGAAAAGGCGUUUAUCUAUGCAUCAAGUUAAGGCUUUGGAGAAGAAUUUCGAUGUGGGAAACAAGUUAGAACCAGAGAGAAAAGUGAAGUUAGCUGAAGAAUUGGGGUUACAGCCAAGGCAAGUGGCUAUUUGGUUCCAAAACCGACGUGCUCGUUGGAAGACCAAGGUGUUGGAGAAAGAUUAUGCAAUGCUUAAAGCUAAUUAUGAUGCUCUUAAGCUUGAUCAUGACAAUCUUGAAAAAGAAAAACUGGGUCUAAUUGCAAAGGUUAGUGUUUAUAUUUCAAACCCCAUUUUUUAGUUUUUUUAAGGUAAAAGUAAUAUAAAUCUUUGUACUAGAAGUCGGAUUACAUUUUGUUCUACCUACUUAAAAUUUAGUCAAAUUAGUUCUUGUAUAUUAAAAUUUUCAUUCAUUUAUAGUGUUAAAACUGAAGUGGUUAACGAAAUACUUGUAUUUCAUAUUAACGUAUAGGGUGAUAGGGAUCAAUUUUUAACAGUAAAAUUGUAUGAAAAUUUUAACAGAAUGAUUGAUUUGCUCUUUGAUUUAACAGGCAUGUACUAAUUUACCUAUUUUUUAAGUAGAGGAAGUAAAUUAUAAUUUAACUCCUAGUACAGGGGCUUCAAUGAUACUGUUACCUUUUUUGAAUUAAUUAAAUCUAAGGGUUGAUAUAUGAUUGUUUUGCAGCUGAGGGACUUGAAAUCAAAGUUGAAAGAAGAGUGUCCAAGCUUUUCAGUGAGGAACAAAGAGCAAGGUUGCUGUGAGAAUGAUGAUGAUGAUGAUUGUAAUGGGAUCGUUAAAGAAGAAAGCAAUGUGAUGAAUGGUUCGUCUUCAUCGUCGGAUUCAUCAAAUAAUCAUAAGUGGUUUAAACCAUUUGAGUCGAGAAUGGAUAUGGGGUAUACGUAUGAUGAGCCAGAGUUGGUGGAAUUGGAAGAACGAAGCAUGUUUAGUGCAGAGGAAUCUUGUGGUUUCUUCUCAGUUGAUCAAGCUCCAUCUCUUCAAUGGUACUUCACGGGGCAGUAAAAAAAACACUGCAUAAAGGGAUAAAAUAGCCUUAAAAGUUUUGUAAUUUAGGAAUAUUUAAGGUCUAUUCUUCUAUUGUUGUUGUUGUUUUUUCAAUUAUCAUAAUUAAAACUGAUUAUUGGGCGGAAUAUUACGCAUAAGGUUUCGAGUUUGAUUUUUGUGAGGGUUUUUUUCUCCUAUUUAGGGGUCUAAUCUGACUCAACUUUAGAUUUAAUCGAAGCUUAAUGUGAUUAUGAGAUACCUAACAGAUUUAGAUUAAAAAAAUAUAAGUUCAAAUAUGUGUCCCAAGUUCAUGUAUUUUUCAUGCCUUUAAAAUUUAGUCACUCAACUUUUAUUUCGCAAAAUUUAGUGUUUCUACUUUUCGAAUUAAAUAAAUCAGGUCUAAUUAUCAACUCUGUUAAUAUUCUUCUGUUAAAUUUGUUUGAUAGUUAUAUAACCAAAAAAAAAAGUUGUAAUAAACAUCAAUUUAAAAGAAAUAUUUUAAUGUUGUUAACAAUUAGACUUGCCAUUUUAUAUCUAACAAAAGACAGGGAUUAAAUUCUUAAAAAUAAAAGUAAAAAGAUUCAAAUUCUAAAUAUACGAAUUUGUUUUCAUAUGUUUUAGUAUAUGGGUUAGUAAUACACUAGCUCAAUUCAUAAUAUUUAGCCAUGCACAUGACUUAUUCUUAUUAUAUAAGUUCUUUUUGAUACAAUGUCUAAAAUUACUCAUAACCCCUCUCGAACUUUUAAAUAGGAGAAUAAUGAAGCUAAAAUUUUUUUUAGAGGGGCCGAAAUAAAAUUUUAAUUUUUAAUAGUCUAUAUCUUUAUAAUUUUUAAAGGAUUAAAUUAAAUUUUCAUAAUUUUGAGGGGUCAAAGUGUAAUUUCACCUUUACUAAUUUUAAAUUUUAAAUUUUUUUUAAAGGGCCAAAACAAUAAUUUUCUAUUUUAGGGCCCCUACCAGCCCCCCUGGAUUUGCCUCUGUCAGUACACUCAGACUCAUGUACUCUUGUAUUAACAAUAACUCCGAUACUAAUUAAGUUAAGACUCGACCGAUAUAUUUAUUAAACUUUUUAUCUAUUAUAAUAUUAUAAAGAGAAAAAUAGUGUUGGCGGUUUCAAAGUACCUAAAAAAACCAAAGGGCCAUGUUCGAAAAUUCAGAAGGCAGCGGCACAAAACUGGGUGUCCAAUCCAAUGGCAAAGUUCCAAAUUGGAGACCCGAUGCAUUCCCUCUUGGUUCUAGUUGCUUUCCUUUUUUUCUUUUUGGGACACCCCAUUGUUUUGACUUUAAUGUAAAAAACAGACCAUAUCCCUCCAUCUCCCCUGACUUGUCAAUUUUUUGCACCAGUCUUUAAAGCUGGCAUCGCCAAAAUGCAAACAAUGGCUGGCUGAAGCUGUUUCCCUAUGAAGAAAAGCCAAGAUACAAACCCUCUAGUAAGGUAAUAUAGACAAAUAUCAUGAAUUUCAGAGCUUGAAAACUAGAUUUACUUUGAUAUUUACAUUCUUUUGAUUUACUUUAGUAUCUGAAUUUUAAAAUUAAAUCUAUUUCGAUUUAUAUUGUCAAACUUUUAUAUUUUUUUUUAAAUUUAGAGAUUAAAAUAGAUUUAGUUGUUAAAUUUAAGUAUCAAAUUAAAUUAAAAAAAUAAGCAACAAAGUAGACUUAGUUGAUAAGUUCAGACGGUAAAAAUUACAUUAACUCUAAAAAUAACGACAUCUAAUAUAUAAUGAAAGAAAUUACAUGUUACUAUUUAUCACCACUUUUGAACAUUAAAAAAAAUCACAUAAAGACCAGCUUUGGUUUGGUUCAGAAUGUGUUUUCAAAAAGAGUUUUGGAUGGCUAAAAUGAAUGCUAAACAAUCCCCACUCAUAAAAUCAUAGAUCUCCCUUCAACUAAUAGACAUGUCUAUACUUACAAGUGCUGAUAUUCUUUGGAAUGCGAUGGAAAUGGAUUUAAAUUUAUUAUAUUUUAUGAUUUGCGGAUGUUUGAUACGAGGAAAAUAAGAUUACCUUCGAUAAUGUAAUUAUCAUAAUAUGAUAUUAGUCAACACAUUAUGAGUUCAAAAUAACCUUUAGAAUCUAAAUCUGUAAAUGUUAUUCCGAAAUUUUACAUUACUUUUAACAAUGUGAGAUUAUUGAACUAGAUUUUUAUAAACCUAACAAAUUUGAACGGCAAGAAAACAUGGACAUAGUUCUUUCUUUUCCAUGUUUGCCAUUCCUUAAAACAACAAGCACUUGUCUAGGGCAUACAGACUAAAUAGACUCACACCACCGUAUUUUCAUUAAAAAGAAAACAACAAAUCUCUCAAAGUUACUAGAUCUUAAUUUUAGGGUAUGAUUUGGUAACAGAAUUAUCGAAAUGUAAAAUUACUUAUUACAUCAUGGGCUCAAAGUAAUCUUUGAAAUCUAAAUGUAAAAAUAUUAUUAAGAAAUCUUACAUUACCUUUGACAAUGUAAGAUUAUUGAACCAUAUCUUUCUAAACCUAACAAAUUUGAAUGGCAAGAGAACAUUACCGGAGUUCUUUCUUUUCUUUUCUUUUCCAUGUAUGCCAUUACUUAAAACAACAAGUACUUGCCUAGGGUAUAUAGACCAAAUAGACUCACACCAUCCUAUUUCCAUUAAGAAGAAAAUGACAAAUCCCUUAAAGUUACUAAAUAUUAAAUUUAGGGUGUGAUUUGGUUAAGGGAAAAUAAGACUAUCUCUGAUAACAUAAUUAUCGAAAUAUAAAAUUACUUAUUACAUUAUGGGCUCAAAGUAAUAUUUAAAAUCCAAACAUAAAAAUGUUAUUCCGAAAUCUUACAUUACCUUUGACAAUAUGAGAUUAUUGAACCAUAUCUUUUUAAACCUAACAAAUUUGAAUGGCAAGAGAACAUUAAAAGAGUUCUUUCUUCUUUUUUUCAUGUGUGUCAGUCCUUAAAACAAUAAGCACUUGCCUAGGGCAUAUAGACCAAAUCGACUCACACCACUCUAUUUCCAUUAAAAAGAAAACGACAAAUCUCUUAAAGUUAUUAGAUCUUAAAUUUAGGGUGUGAUUUGGUUAAGGUAAAAUAAAGUUAUCUCUGAUAACACAAUUAUUGAAAUGUAAAAUUACUUAUUACAUUAUAGGCUCAAAGUAAUAUUUAAAAUCUAAACGUAAAAAUGUUAUUCUGAAAUCUUACAUUACCUUUGACAAUGCGAGAUUAUUAAAACAUAUCUUUCUAAACCUUACAAAUUUGAAUGGAAAGAGAACAUCAACGAAAUUCUUUCUUUUCUUUUCUUUUCUUUUCCACGUGUGUCAUUCCUUAAAACAACAAGCACUUGUCUAGGGCUUAAACCAAAUAGACUCAUCACCCAAUUUUCAUUAAAAAAUUGACAAAUCUCUCAAACUUAUUGGACCUUAAAUUUAGAGGAUAAUUUGGUUAAGGGAAAAAUAAGAUGAUCUGUGAUUACAGAAUUAUCAAAAUGUAAAAUUACUUAUUAUAUUAUGGGCUCAAAAUAAUUUUUGAAAUUCUUAUAUUAUCUUUGACAAUGUGAAAUUCUUAAACUAAAUCUUUCUAAACCUAACAAAUUUAAAUGAUAAGACAACAUCGAUAGAGUCCAUUUCUUUUCUUUCCUAUACGUGCCAUUCCUUAAAAGAACAAGCAAUUGUCGAGGGCUUAGACCAAAUAGACUCACACCACCCUGUUUCUAUUUAAAAAACAUACAACAAAUUUCUCUCAAAGUUUUACAAUCAUAAGGAGAUUGAAUCCGAUGCAAAAAUGUGAAAGCACCCAACUCAUGUACUCCUCAUCCUUCAUCCCCUAUAUGCAGCAAAGGACCAUACUUUCAUUACAAAUCUUUAGAAAGGGGGGGGGUGUAAAUGCUUGAUAGCAACUGAACUUCCUGAUAAUGUAUUAACUUAUUCGAAAUGCUUUAAUGAAAGAGUUACCUUCCUUGAGCACCACAUGAAUGGAACCUGUCUGUCUGGCAUGCAUGCUUUUAGCCCCAUGAGUUGAGCCUACAACAUGUGGAUGUGGAUAUAAGGCUCGUCCCUUUCCACUUUUCUUAGUUUGGGAGCGGGAAAGAGACGCACCAAAAAGCUGCUGCUGACUCUCUUGUCGUUCCCUUUCAUGUCUGGAAAACAAUGGGUCCCUUUGUUCAUCAAUUGUUUGACUCUUUUUAUCCACUAUUGAAUCUACCUAUAGCUGUUCCAUAACUUUUGUGGGAAAUUGGCAAUCCCUAAAAAGCCCAUUAAAAUUUUCACCCUCCCACUUGUGGUAAAAGUAUAUAGAUGUUAUUGAAUCACAACAUUUUUACAUAAUAUUUUUUUCGCACUUAAAAUAUUUACAAUGAUUAAUUCUCUUAUUAUGGGUGCUCUAUGGGUGCUCUUUGAAAAGGUAAAUGACUAACUAUGAAAAGUGUUUUAUUUUCAUGAGCAAUGAUUAAAACCCUAACCAUAUAAUUAAAAGAUGAGGUGAGCAACCACCACACUACAUCUCAUAGUUGAUAUCGUACUUUUAAACUUAGUGGGAAAAAAAUUGUAUAUUAGAAUAUGGUAUUGAAAAAAUUUUAUAUAAAAAUUAUAUUUAUUAAAAUUUUUUGUAAGAAUCAAGUAAAGCUUUGGUUGGUUUGGUAAAAUUAAAUUUCUAAAAAAUUAUAGAGUUUUAGGUUUAAGUCUGAUCAUACAUGUGUUUUCAUUAAUUUUAUAUAAAAAUAUAAUGGCUUGUUUAGUAGUGCUUAAAAAAACACUUCUGACUCCAAAAGCACUUUUAGAAAAAAAACUGUGCUAAACAAACUGCUUUUGGUUGAAAUUUUUUGCUUCAAAAGCACUUCUGAAAAGGAGAAGCUAAAAUUUUUAGCUUUUCCUCCCCAAAAGCACUUUUGGUGCUUAAUUAUUUUUUCACCUCCCCAAUAACAUAGUAAUUUCUCUUUGUUUCUCUUGGUGCUUAAUUACAAAUGUGUUAAAAUCAUUAAUUAAAAAUAAAAAUAAAUAUUUUUAAAAAUACUAAUUACACAUAUUUAGUGGUUAUAUUUAAAUAUUUAAAAUAUAGUUUAUAUAUUCUAAUUAAAUUUAAUAAAUAAUUAAUAUUUAUUGCUUAAAAAUAUUUAAAAUUUAUAUUUCAUAUAUUAAAACAUUAACAACAAGUUAUAAUAAUUUUUUAUAUUCUUACUAAAAUAUAAUAAUAUUAACUAAUUUAAAUAUUAUUUAAAUGCAUUGUUUCUUAAUAAUAACAUGUCUAAAAUGAAUAUUUUACUUCUCAAAAUCACUUUUUGACAGCAACACUCAAAUUUUAAACUAAACUUUUCAAAAACAUUUCUCAAAAACACUUUUUUACGACACUUUUCAAAAACAUUGCUAAACUAGCCCUAAAAAGACAAAAACACUAAUAAUAGUAUAAUUUACGUAAAAGAAUAUUACUUUUACUCAUUUCAUAGCUAAAUUGAUAUAUGGUUGACUCAUGACACUAACUUAAAGAAACAAAUUUAAAUAUAGUAUCGAUUUUUUUAAAAAUAAAAAAUAAAAAAACAUAAAUCAUAGUUUUUAAAACAUUUUGAAAAGAAAAAAUAUUUUGUGAAGUGGAUUGAACAUUAAUUUAAAGGGGUAAGUCUCUUUCUUUUUCUUUUUCUUUUUUAUAAAUAUGUCCUUACUUCUCUCUCUCUCUUCAUUUUUUCUCUUUUUCUUUUUUUUUCUUUUUCCUUUUCAUCUUUUUCUUCUUUCACAUUUUUUGUUAUUUUUCUUUUCUUCCCUCCUCUCUUCUUCCCAACUCUAGUCGUCACAUUUUCCUCUCUCGUUGACAAAUCUACAAAACCAAAAAAGCAUCAAAAUUAAAGAGCGAAGAAAGAUAAAGAAAAAGAGUGAGAAGGAUCCUUCAAGUUUGGCCAAUGAGUAAUUGGAGAGAUUUGGAAUCUUCGUUAGAGAUUCCGAACGGUUGAGGCCUUCAUCGGGACAAUGAAGCAACAAUCUAAGUUGUAAUACUGAAAGAUUUAGGCUUUAAUUUCCUAAAACCUUGAGGAAGAAUUCCCAAAAUCAAACCAAUAAAAAGAAGGGAGGGAGGGAGGGAGAACAAAUUCCAGUGUCUUUUUUUGACCAAUCAAAGAAGGUUAGUAGCGGUGGAGGAACGUGCGACAACUAGGCUACAAGGAAGAAGUGUUGGGGAAGCAUGUAAGGUUUGCAUGAUAGAAUUUUAAAAUUUGUAAUACAUCCAGGAUCAACUAAGAUAGUUAGAAGACAUAGUUAGAACAAUAAAUUGUUAAUAAUCUAGUUUUUAGAUGUAUUUUGAUUCGUUUUCGCAAGUUGAAGAAGUUGUUUUGCAAUUAAUUGUGAUUUGCUCGGAGGAAACUGCACUCUUUUACGAAAACAUCCCUAUUUGGUUCAGUUCGAGUUGAGCUUAAGCAUGAUAUUAACACACUUAUGUUUGCCUAAACCCGACUUAACUCGAAAUAUAAGUCUAAAUUUUGCCCAAGCCCACCCGUACUUAUAAAUGGUUAACUCAAGCUAAUUUUAGGCCCGUCUAUAUUGUUUUUGCUUUUUUAAAAAUAUUUAUAUUGUUUUUAAUUUAAUAUUUAAUAUUUAAUAAUUUUCUUUUAUUAAAUAUUAUAUAUAUGUAUUUUAACAUUUUUAAUGUUUACAUUAUAGUAUUAUAUAUUACUAUAAAUUUAAUUUUUAUGUGUUAUAAAUUACAUAAUAUAUAAAAACUACAUAAUAGAAUGUAUUAGAAACUUAAAAACAUGUCGGAUUAGGUCAAGAAGUGUCAUCUUUAUGAACACACUGCACAUAGUCAACCAUGGGAAGUGACAUCUUUAUGAAGUGUGCUAGUCGAUCUCCGAGGCUAAAAACCCAAUUUUGUGAGUUAUUAACGAAAGUUGCAUGGAGGGACUUUCAAUUCAGCAACAAUAGCAAUCUUGGAUGUUGUUGGGUCAACAAAUGCCAUUAAGGCAUUCUGGAUAAGUUGAUCUUAAAGGAACCAAAUGGUAUAGUCAAAAUUGAUUUGUUAACAAUCAUUGGUAAUGCGUUGAAGGGCUAGAUUAAAACCAAUUUGAUGGCCAAAGAGAUCAUGGUCAUGCAUGAGCAUUGAAAAUUGUACUUUCUAGGUCGAAAAAUUGAUAUUCCUAAUUAAUGUUAUAAUGAGUUAAGAGGUGGGGUUGAAUUAUUCGUCGUAAUAUGAUUAAUGUUUUAUUAGCUUCGAAAAUGAGAGUAUUGAUAGAAACUAUUCAAUAUAACAACUACUAGUAGGCUUGUUUAUGCAUGAAACAAUAGGGAUAUUUUUAUCAAAAUUGUACAAUUUUUGCUAGCUCUGAUACCAUAUAAACAUAAAA
This 37326-nucleotide long non-coding RNA is filed under the name Gossypium barbadense (sea-island cotton). RNAcentral's name for it is "long non-coding RNA (GBAR_LNC016859)". The record is from RNAcentral. Lineage: Eukaryota; Viridiplantae; Streptophyta; Magnoliopsida; Malvales; Malvaceae.